UGCUGCCCACGGGACAAUGGUUGGCCAGGUGACUCUGCUGGCCUUGGCUGGGCUCUUUCAUGUCUGGGCAUGGCUGGCUGAUGGCCGAUCUAGACUGGUCACGGCUUGACAGAUGAAGCAACUCUACUCCACAUUAUCUCUUAUCCUGUGCGUGGGCCCAGGCUUGAGGCAUCCUCGUGGCAAGGGCAGAAAUGCAAAUAAAUCCAAUCUUGGAAGCAAACCACGCUUCCGCACCCCGCCUCCCCCAUCACAUCUGCUAACAUCCUACUGGCCAGAACGAGUCACAUGGUGGAGCUUGGAGUCCAAGUCAGAGGCACCCGUAAGUUACACGUCAGGGAGGGUGUCUAGGGAGGGUUAAGAGAGACCAUCAUUGCAACUGCCUACAACAUAUGUUCUGUCUUUGUGUAUUCAGAUGCAGUAAGCUGGUUUCAUGCAAGAUGGCUGCCAGGGCUCCAGCCCCACAUCCUCCAGGUGGCACGGGUGAGACACCUGUGGACAGCACAGGUGAACUCUCUAUUUUAGCAGCUCCAGAAGAAUCUCAGAGUCUCUCUGGCUCCAAUGAGUCACAUGCCCAGUCUCUUACCAAAUCACUAAGGCUAAGGGACCACAGAGUUCUGAUUGGCCCCUCCUGAGUCACCUGCCCACUUUUGAGCUGGGGUGGAGUCAAUCCUACCUAAUUUAUAUGGACUGAGGUUCAGGGAGGGUGGCUCACCGGAGGACUAUCAAGGAUGCUACAGAAGGUGGCUGACUUAGGUUAGGUAGCCCCAGAAGUCUCUGAGACAGGGACUGGAACACAAUGUAUCUGUGAAGGGAUCCCCGAAAAGACUGUGAGAGGGCGGGGAAGUGAUGGGGGAGGGAAGGGAGCCCAUGCAGGAGCGUUAGUGAGCAGGUUAAUGCUGGGGGACCAAGCUCCGUCCCUCUGGAGCCUCUGGGACACCACAGAGCAUGCCUUCAAGUUGUUCCUGACAAAUGACCUGGGAUGCAAGAAACUGGGCGAUUUACCUGCCAAUUCCAAUCACCAUUGGCUGCGACUUGCCUCCGUGGGCCCUAAGUCUCUGACACUUCUCCUCGCCCUCUGCACGGGCUAAGCUGUCUCCCGUGGCCAGAGAAUGUCCUUGGGUCGAGUCACUGGUGCUUGCAUCCAGAAGCUGGACUGGAAAUCAGCCAAGUAAGGAGUCUAUUGUUCUUCAGCCCCGUGUACAUUCCUCCCAGAUGACAGAUCAUAACCAUUGCAACCAGCAAAGUGGAGAAAGCUUGUUUAUGGAGACCACCCGACUGGGGCACGACUGGAUGUCACCCUGCCCCAAAGGCGACGGCCAAAAGGACCAACGCUCAGCCCCUUCGACACAGUCUCCUGGCUAUGUCCACAGAACUUGGCUCAGGGUCGUGGGCUCUCCCUCCGUCCUUACCCGCCAAAACCAAAGAGCCACGCCAGCUCAGAGGUUCCAGAUGGCUCUCACUCUCGAAACGAUCCCACAGGGGCCGUCCUGUAGAACUAAAACAAAACCAGACAGAAAACCAACCCCCUCCUCCCCCCAAACCAGGCAACGAAAGCAUAAACAGAGGUUUCAAGUUUCUCCUAGUAAAGGCAGGCUGGAGCUUGGCCACAGCUGGUGUAGUUCAACUGCUCGAAGACGUCCGUGAAUUCCCUCUCACCUUCCAAGAAUUCCAGAUACUGGCUGUUGCCAGUUUGUUCACAGAUGUCAGGGCUCCCACAAAUGUGGUUGUCUUGACCCCCCUCUCGCGGGGGCAAGACGUUCUGUGGUUGCAGCUGGAAGACCACUGCCAUCAGGAAUGCUAACAUUUUCCCAGAGGCUUCCUCCCCACAGACUCCCGCUUGUGUUUCACUGGCAGAACUGGGUUACUCAGCCUACCCCCUGCCCCCCGCCCUGCCCCCGCAGGACAAAGGAGGCUGACGAAGCUAGAACGGGAUUGCCAUGACUGGCGGAAUCAGGCAGGGUACAUCGCUGCCCCCAGAUAAAGUCUGGGUUCCAUCAGCAAGGAAGAACGUGGGGGGUUGAGUGUCACGGUUAUAUGUCAAGGUACUAUGGCUGCGUGCCAAGCCAUCCCCGAAUUUUGUGGCAUUUACUUUGCCC
Panthera uncia (snow leopard) is the source of this 2096-nucleotide long non-coding RNA. RefSeq lists it as uncharacterized. The record is from RefSeq and is a predicted model, not a curated record. NCBI's taxonomy places the organism in Eukaryota, Metazoa, Chordata, Mammalia, Carnivora, Felidae. The transcript has 3 exons.